AAAGCAGGUUGCAAUUACAGUGCUUUCUCUUAAUGGAAGUGCUGUCAUUAUCCUGCUGAUAGUAAAGAUGUCAGCUUGUCUGUUUUCGGCUUCAUGUGUAUGGAAACAUUCAGCAUUGACAACUACAGUU
This is a small nucleolar RNA of Rana temporaria (common frog), 130 nucleotides long. RefSeq annotates it as small nucleolar RNA SNORA69. The record is from RefSeq and is a predicted model, not a curated record. The transcript has a single exon. NCBI's taxonomy places the organism in Eukaryota, Metazoa, Chordata, Amphibia, Anura, Ranidae.